Molecule: ribosomal RNA, 253 nt
Filed under: uncultured bacterium
Lineage: Bacteria
Description: partial 16S ribosomal RNA
Rfam family: Bacterial small subunit ribosomal RNA
Source: RNAcentral
UACGGGGGGGGCAAGCGUUGUUCGGAAUUACUGGGCGUAAAGGGCUCGUAGGUGGCCAACUAAGUCAGACGUGAAAUCCCUCAGCUUAACUGGGGAACUGCGUCUGAUACUGGAUGGCUUGAGUUUGGGAGAGGGAUGCGGAAUUCCAGGUGUAGCGGUGAAAUGCGUAGAUAUCAGGAGGAACACCGGUGGCGAAGGCGCUCAUCUGGCCCAAUACUGACGCUGAAGCGCGAAAGCUAGGGGAGCAAACAGG